This 275-nucleotide ribosomal RNA is filed under the name uncultured bacterium. RNAcentral describes it as "partial 16S ribosomal RNA". It matches the Rfam family "Bacterial small subunit ribosomal RNA", at positions 338 to 610 of the family's 1533-position model. The record is from RNAcentral.
CCUACGGGGGGCAGCAGUAAGGAAUAUUGGACAAUGGGCGGAAGCCUGAUCCAGCCAUCCCGCGUGCCGGAUGAAGGCCCUCUGGGUCGUAAACGGCUUUAGACUGGAAAGAAACCCUUUGGUGCGCCAAAGGUUGACGGUACCAGUAGAAUAAGCACCGGCUAACUCCGUGCCAGCAGCCGCGGUAAUACGGAGGGUGCAAGCGUUAUCCGGAAUCACUGGGUUUAAAGGGUGCGUAGGCGGCUUUUUAAGUCAGAGGUGAAAGCUUCGCGCUU